CGCCCGUCGCUCCUACCGAUUGGGUGUGCUGGUGAAGUGUUCGGAUUGGCGACCGGGGGCGGUUUCCGCCCUCGGCCGCCGAGAAGUUCAUUAAACCCUCCCACCUAGAGGAAGUAAAAGUCGUAACAAGGUAUUC
This 136-nucleotide ribosomal RNA is filed under the name uncultured Trebouxiophyceae. Its description in RNAcentral is "partial small subunit ribosomal RNA". It matches the Rfam family "Eukaryotic small subunit ribosomal RNA", at positions 1670 to 1804 of the family's 1831-position model. Lineage: Eukaryota; Viridiplantae; Chlorophyta; Trebouxiophyceae. The record is from RNAcentral.